AAUAGAAUCUAAGUUUGCAACAAAUGAGUCAAUACGAUGUCGUUUGGCAUUGUUGUACUUAACAAAACAGUAUGUAUUAUUUAGAAGUUAUUUGACAUCGAUAGUUGAUAUGUAUAAUGGUAUGAAAAUUAUAAAAGUGACAAGUACCGGAAAAUUAAGAAGAUACUUAUUUUUUUGUAAUCCUUAUUCUAUUUGCAUUAUAGGUAAAUGGUCAAGAACAUAUCUACUGUAUGAAGACAUAACACAAAUAUAUAUAGGAUAUAAAAACACGCCACAAUUUGCAUUAUAUGAAGAGAGAUACAAAGAUAGUUCGGAACGUUCAAAUUAUAUAGUUUUAAAAACUACAAUGAGAGAUUUUAAUUUUAUAUUUCUUAACGAUGUAGAUAUUAUAAAGAAAUUAAAGAAAUAUUCACUUUUAACAAAAAUAAAAACGUUUUUAACAAAAAAGAAUCCUGCAAUAGAACAGAAUAUUACUGUUGAAAUCACAGAUAAUUCUAAAUUAAAUCCAAACACUAAUAGUACUUUGAAUUCGGAAAAUGUUAGUAGUGAUAAUAGUUUGCUUAAUGUAUUGAAUAAAAAAGUGUGUACUAACGAAGUUUCUGAUGCCAGUACUAAGAAUACUGAGACAAAACAGGAGACAACUGUUGAAAUCACUGAUAGUGCUUUGAAUUCUGAAUAUUUGAAUAAUAAUGACAGUGCUCUCAAGGUUGGUAAAAAAAAAGUAAGUGUUAUGGUAGGUUCUAAUGCGAGUACUGCUGAUUGUAACGAGAAUAAGGAAGUUAGUACUGUUGCACAAAAUGUUUCUACCGGUAUGCAUGAUAAUAGGAAUUAUAAAGGAAUACUAAAAAAAUAUAAUAUAGUAAACACAUUUUGUGAUUAUUUUGAGUUGACAUUAAAACAAUCAAAAACGACAAAUAUUAAUAUCACUACUAAAGAAAUAAAGGAAGUUAUUAAAAAAAAUGAUCUCAUAUUUUUUAGGAAAUAUAAUUUUAAAAACACAAAAAUUAACUCACUUUUCUUUUUUUUACAAAUACAAAUGGAUAUAUGUGGGCCAGAGCUUUGGUUUACAGCUAAAUUUGAUGAAUAUCUUUUUACACAUUUGAAUUAGAAAAGCUUUAAAGAGUUGUUUACAUAUUUUAUUUUUAUUUUUUUUGUGUUAUAAUUUAUGUAAUUUAGUAUGCAUAUACAUAUAAAUGCAAUAAAAAAAAAAAAAA
RNAcentral lists this long non-coding RNA (1214 nucleotides) under Piliocolobus tephrosceles (Ugandan red Colobus). RNAcentral's name for it is "lncRNA (ENSPTEG00000016858.1)". The record is from RNAcentral. Lineage: Eukaryota; Metazoa; Chordata; Mammalia; Primates; Cercopithecidae.